Molecule: ribosomal RNA, 449 nt
Filed under: uncultured bacterium
Lineage: Bacteria
Description: partial 16S ribosomal RNA
Rfam family: Bacterial small subunit ribosomal RNA
Source: RNAcentral
GACGAACGCUGGCGGCAUGCCUAAUACAUGCAAGUCGAACGAGAUCUUCGGAUCUAGUGGCGCACGGGUGCGUAACGCGUGGGAAUCUGCCCUUGGGUUCGGAAUAACUUCGGGAAACUGAAGCUAAUACCGGAUGAUGACGUAAGUCCAAAGAUUUAUCGCCCAAGGAUGAGCCCGCGUAGGAUUAGCUAGUUGGUAAGGUAAAGGCUUACCAAGGCGACGAUCCUUAGCUGGUCUGAGAGGAUGAUCAGCCACACUGGGACUGAGACACGGCCCAGACUCCUACGGGAGGCAGCAGUAGGGAAUAUUGGACAAUGGGGGCAACCCUGACCCAGCAAUGCCGCGUGAGUGAUGAAGGCCUUAGGGUUGUAAAGCUCUUUUACCCGGGAUGAUAAUGACAGUACCGGGAGAAUAAGCCCCGGCUAACUCCGUGCCAGCCGCCGCCGUAA